UUUAUUGAGAACUAGGAUUCCAAAUGUAGAAUUAGUUGGGUAUAUAUGCAAUCUAAGAUGCAAAAUGAUAAACAAAACAAAGAAAAGCAAGGUUCGCAAUACCAAUUCGAACAUAUACGCACGCAGCAGUUUAGUAUUCCACAGGUAAACCAUAAAACAAUAAAAUUUUGCAAGCAGCAAAGUAAAACCUCAACAUACAAAACUUCCCACGAGUCCCAAUUCCAAGCAAAACCCAAUACUCAAAACUGACAAACCAAGCUAAUAAACAUAUAAAGAUAGAAUCUUGACUGUAAAAACCAGAACCGAACAAAGCAAAACAAAGAUGGGAGCUUUGAUAAGUACCAGAUGGAAAGGAAGUGACUAGAGAAUAGAGGAAGUCGAAGACGAAGUUGAGGGCUGCUGUUAGAAAUAGUCGCAGCCUCCUUCAUGGAUAACGCUACACAACAACAACUGGAUGCCCAGAAUAGUUUUUUCGAUGUCGGAUCUCUCAGAGACGGCUGCUCUACGCUCGUCGCGUCGCGUCGCUAUGUCUGAGAGAUCGACGUGGAUGCCGUCGAAGAUGAAGGAGGGGCGGAACGUUUGGAUGGGUGGAGUUGAGUACGGUCGAUGAAGUCGGCGAAGAAUUGGGCCUGGGUCGUGUUGGCCAUUUGCAGAGAACGGCAGUACAGCAGCCAUUAGAGGGGGAUGAGAAAAGAUAAAGGAAGAGAAAGGAAGAGCAACGAAAAAUUAUAAUCCCAAGCACGAGACGCGCCUAGCUUCGGCGUGUUUGCAAGCAAGUGGUAAAAUUUUGUUUUUACCAAUUUACUUCCGUCAGUAGACAAAUGCGGAGCACAGACGCUCCGGAGCAUUCCAGACGUCUCCCACGCACGCUGGCUUAUACUGUUUGAGAUUUCCCCAUGCAAGCUUCUAGAUGAAGGGAGCGGUCCAACUUGUCUGUUUGGUUCCAGUAUGUGUUCCCAAUUCAACUGGCUAUUACUUGAUAUCUGUAAGUCCUCACUAUUGCUAUAAUGAUAAAUGUUGAGCCAAUUAAUCCAAAGGAAUAUGCCUGUUCAUGAUGA
This 1058-nucleotide long non-coding RNA is filed under the name Fragaria vesca (wild strawberry). RNAcentral's name for it is "long non-coding RNA (FVES_LNC001234)". Lineage: Eukaryota; Viridiplantae; Streptophyta; Magnoliopsida; Rosales; Rosaceae. The record is from RNAcentral.